This 486-nucleotide ribosomal RNA is filed under the name uncultured bacterium. RNAcentral describes it as "partial 16S ribosomal RNA". It matches the Rfam family "Bacterial small subunit ribosomal RNA", at positions 28 to 507 of the family's 1533-position model. The record is from RNAcentral.
GACGAACGCUGGCGGCGUGCUUAACACAUGCAAGUCGAACGGGAUCCAAAGGCUUUUUGUUUUUGGUGAGAGUGGCGAACGGGUGAGUAACACGUGAGUAACCUGCCCCCUUCUUUUGGAUAACCGCAUGAAAGUGUGGCUAAUACAGGAUAUUCCAGGCUGGUCGCAUGAUUGGUUUGGGAAAUGGUUUGGUCUGGUGGGGGAUGGGCUCGCGGCCUAUCAGCUUGUUGGUGGGGUGAUGGCCUACCAAGGCGGUGACGGGUAGCCGGCCUGAGAGGGUGGGCGGUCACCCUGGGGAUGGGAUACGGCCCAGACUCCUACGGGAGGCCGCAGUGGGGGAUUUUGCACAAUGGGCGGAAGCCUGAUGCAGCGACGCCGCGUGAGGGAUGAAGGCCUUCGGGUUGUAAACCUCUUUCGCUGGGUUGAAAGGCCAUGCUUUGGGUGUGGUUGAUUUGAACUGGUAAAGAAGUACCGGCUAACUACGUG